GUGGGGAAUAUUGCACAAUGGGCGCAAGCCUGAUGCAGCAACGCCGCGUGAGGGACGACGGCCUUCGGGUUGUAAACCUCUUUUAGCAGGGAAGAAGCGAAAGUGACGGUACCUGCAGAAAAAGCACCGGCUAACUACGUGCCAGCAGCCGCGGUAAUACGUAGGGUGCAAGCGUUGUCCGGAAUUAUUGGGCGUAAAGAGCUCGUAGGCGGUUUGUCGCGUCUGCGGUGAAAACCCGAGGCUCAACCUCGGGCCUGCAGUGGGUACGGGCAGACUAGAGUGCGGUAGGGGAGAUUGGAAUUCCUGGUGUAGCGGUGGAAUGCGCAGAUAUCAGGAGGAACACCGAUGGCGAAGGCAGAUCUCUGGGCCGUAACUGACGCUGAGGAGCGAAAGCGUGGGGAGCGAACAGGAUUAGAAACCCCGGUAGUCC
This 430-nucleotide ribosomal RNA is filed under the name uncultured bacterium. RNAcentral's name for it is "partial 16S ribosomal RNA". It matches the Rfam family "Bacterial small subunit ribosomal RNA", at positions 354 to 796 of the family's 1533-position model. The record is from RNAcentral.